Macaca mulatta (Rhesus monkey) is the source of this 1799-nucleotide long non-coding RNA. RefSeq lists it as uncharacterized. NCBI's taxonomy places the organism in Eukaryota, Metazoa, Chordata, Mammalia, Primates, Cercopithecidae. The record is from RefSeq and is a predicted model, not a curated record.
CCCAACCAAGGACACUCACAAACCUGACCUGAUGACAACAUACCUCAAAAAUCCUAAGUGUACGUAUAUCUUCUGGGCUGGUGAACAUCGUCUCUGACUCCUCAAGUUUUAUGCACAGUAGUAGAGGUUAGAAGAGGAAGCUCAAUUUGAAUCCCAGAUGAUACGUUUAAAUUGCAGAGUAAAGGUCUUUCUCUCUGGGAAGGAGAGUGACAGGUGUACCAGCCAGUAUAUGUAAGUUGCAAGUCUCAUAAUUCGGGGUUCCUCCCUGGUGAUGCAAGCCCACUGCAUAUGUCGGUAAGCAUUUGGCUCUCACUGCACCAGUUUGCGGGGAUUGGGGAACAGGAAACUGCUGCUGAGAUGCUGCUUUGUCUACUCUUUUCCUGUAAGUAAUAAACAGUCUGUGUCUCUUACACAGAGCUUUGUUUUCUCUUGUCAGCACAUGUAUAUAAAACGAUGACAAGCUAACCUGUUAUAUCACACAUGGAGGUAAUCACAGUUCUGUUGUAGUUUCAGACAACAUGAAGGAAGCCAGACAUUAAUAGAGAAAACUUUGUAUGAUUUCUAUUACAUUCAGGAAAAAGCAAAACUAAUCUUCAGUGAUAGAAAUCAGAGUUGUGUUUUUCUCUGGGGUAUAUGAACUGAAAAGAGAAGUGCAGAAGUCUUCUAGAGUGUUUAAAAUGAUCUAUACAUUGCUUUAGAUGGUGGUUACAUGAAUACAAAUAUUCAGUUAUCACCUAAGAUUUGUGUAAUGUACUGCAUGUAUGCUACACCUCAAUAAAAAUAUUCCAUAAUAGGAAGGCCAACAGAAAAAUGCCCUUUAAAUUUCAGCAAGUUGAGAAGUUAAGUUUAAGAAAAGAGCAUAUGUCUCCAAAAGCUUUUUAAGAGGUACUUGAACUUCUGUGACCUAUUUUCACUGUUACAUAGAAUCAGAGUGUGCCGUAAAUCACCUAGUUAAUUAUUCCUGCUGCCAGAGCUGGGAAACCUGGAAGGCUUGUAUAAUGGCUAAUUUUAUAUGUGUUGACAUGGCUAGGCCAUGGGUUGCCCAGAUAUUUGACAAGAUCAAACACUAUUCUGGGUGUUUCUGUGGGAUGUUUCUGGAUGAGAUUAACGUUUAAGGUGAUGGACUUUGAGUAAAGCAGAAAAUCCUCUUUAAUGUAGUGGGCCUCAUCCAAUCAGCCAAAGGCCUGAAUCAAACAAAAAGAUCAGCUUCCCUUGAGCAAGAGAGAAUUCAGCAGACUGCCUUCAGCCUUCAUUGGCAACAUCAGCAAUUCCUGAUUCCAUAGCAGAUGGCCUCAGACUCGAACUCGAACAUCAGCAUCAGCUCUCCUGAGUCUCCAGCCUGCCAGCCUAUACCCUGCAGAUUCCGGACUUGCUGGCCUCCAUAAUAAUGUGUCAACAAUUUUAGCAUUGCAGAAGACCAUGGAGACAACUUUUUUAUUUCUCCAUCACACAUGCACUGAAGAUACAAAAAUGAGUUUUUCUUUCCUAUGGCCUUGGACUAGCUAUAUACUAUAGUAAUUAGCAAGCAGGCUCUGAAUCACACAAGCCCCUCCCACUGACUCUUGUACUUUUUAGCUAUAAGAACCUAAGCAUGAACUUCGCAGAGCUCCAGUGCUUCUGUUUUGAAAAGAGAUAAUAUUUCCUAUGGGAUAGGGUUGUCUGGGGGUACUAAAUGAGAAAUACAUACAAGGUACUUAAUGGAAGGUGAGGCAUGUAGGACUCAAUAGAGGUAGCUAUUAAAUAGUAUGUAAGUAACAAAUCCUGAUAAUGUUCAAUUCUGAAUAAAACUUAACUAGGUA